Molecule: long non-coding RNA, 2766 nt
Organism: Lycium ferocissimum
Lineage: Eukaryota; Viridiplantae; Streptophyta; Magnoliopsida; Solanales; Solanaceae
Exons: 2
Source: RefSeq, a predicted model, not a curated record
CCACCACGUCCCCGUUUCCCUUUGAUUGACGGGGUGACAGAACUGAAAAGAGCCAAUAUAGGUCGUUUCAACCUCUAUAGAAGAGGAGUGCAAUCAACCUCCAGUUUUAAGCUCGAACUCUCCUUCGAUUCAGUGGGUAAUGGAGGAAUCUACCAUGUAUUAGACCCCAACGGCUCUUCUCCUCUCAAAUCGAACUGAAAAGGUGAGAUUUUUCACCCCUUUUUCUUGAUAUUAUCCAUCAAAAUCUUUUUUCCAGAACUUCCCAUCAAAAAAGGUCACCUUUUCCCCCUCUUUUUGAAUUCCGAAUUUUUCAGCCUCUUGAAGAAGCUGAUGAAAUCCCCUCAGUCUCAGCCUAUAAAUACAGCCCCCUUGGCUGUGUUUAGAACAAGUUUCAAGUGUAGAAAAUCCCCUUUAAGUUAACAAGUGCAAGUGUUGAAAAUCACCGCUUGAACAAACAUUUUCACAACUGAAAACUAAGUUGGAAUUUUCAGAAAAUACUAUCCCUAACUCUAAGUUUUUUUUUUUUUGUUGUCAAAAUCCCCUCCUUCAGUUCUCGGCUGAGCAAGGACCACUCCGAGCGGAUUCGGAGAUUCGACAACUACAGUAGCCUCAGUUCGCUGUCAUGAAGAAGGUAAUCACACUCGUCGUCUCUUCGUCUUUAAUUCCUUAGAAGUAAAAUGUAGUCGUCAGGUCGUUUUGUCGUUUGUAUAGUCUCAAUCUAUUUAAAUCUAUUUGUUGCUCUGUGUGCUCUGAAUAUGUGACGAAAUUGUUAAUACAAGCUAUUAUACUUAGAAAGAAUGAUAAUUUAGCUUGAAGAACGCGUGAACAGUGAUGUCGUCCUGCUUUAAAUUAGUUUCCUUUGAUCUUGAGGGGCUCUUGCGAUUUACUUUUUUUGACGCGCUCAUACAAUGUAGCUAAGGUUUUUCUGGUGACUUGAAUAAGAAUAAGAAUGCUUUUCUUUUUUUUUUUUUUUUUUUUUUUGGUUCUUGUUCAUGUGAUGUAUUGGUCUAAAUUGUAUAUAGGAAUAUGUAACUAAUUGAAGUGACGUUGUUGAGCUUAGCGUUUGUUUGGGGUGAUUAAUGAAUUCAUAUUUUUUCUUCAUAUUAUUGGUUCUGAGAAAUCGUAAGGAAAAAUAGCUUGGUUCGCUCGAAUUAUCAGAUGUGCAAUUAACUUGUCGCUCGUGUAAAUUCUAUUUUUUGGGAGCUGUUUUGCCAUGAACCUUUCUUGAAAUCGAUGUGUAAAUAUACUAUGGUAUCUUAUAACUUGAGAGGAAAAAGUUACUAUUCUGAUGUUUUGAUCUUUAAAAAAAAAAAAAAAAAAGAGUAAGGAAGAAUCAGGGAGCAGUAGGUCGUAGUCCUAAAAUCCCCUGUGUGUUAAGUGCAUGUGGCCUGUUUUCUAUCUCAAUGACAAGUUUGGUUAAACUUAUUAUGAGUUUGUGAGUUCUGUUGUUAUGGCCAUAGGAUUUUCAGAUUUUUACAUGAACUUAACCAUCCAUGAACAUAUGAAACUGUCCGCUCAUAACUGUUUUUUUAUUUUAUGGAUGCCAUGAAAGAAUAGUAUGAAACAGUGUUAACACGUCGUUAAUCUUUAGCUAAAUGUCUCUCUUCUCUGUUCUUUUAUUUGGUCAUUGUAACUUAGAAGCCAUAAGAAUACACCUCCUAAUUUGUUGCAGCAAACUUGUUAGCUCAUUUUGGCUUUGUUUGAGUGUAGCUUCCGAAUAAUAUUGGUACAAACCUAAGUUGUGUUCAUAUUCUGCUUGGGUAUUAGUUGUUGAUAGGGAAAAGUUCAGUUCAUUUCAAGUUUACUAGCAGGAUAUGAAACAUUGCUACAUGAAGCUAUUGUGCGUACUUCUUUAAGAUCACUUAUGGGGCAUAAGCUUCAUAAAAGUAGUUAUCUAAAUAUUUUCGUCAUAUGAAAAUGAGUGGGUGUAUUCUCUUUCUGAUUUUGUUCCUGAGAGAAUGUUGGUAUAGCAUGUAUGAAAGGAGAUGUAGAAUCUCUAGAUUCUGAUUUAAUGGUUUAUGCAUAUACAUUAAAAAAAAAAAAGUGUACUUCCAUCUAUUCAAGUGUUUAGACUUUGGCAUGAUUUGAAAUAUGAUUUAUUUGGAAGAGAAAAAAUGCUUUUGUUAGCCUAAAUGUUAGCAUGAUUUAUCUUCCUACUGAUUCUUGUCCUACUGAUUCUUGUCUUAAGAGGUAUAUUUAUCUUUUGUGUUAUUCAAAUGGUAUUUAGAACCAUGAGUUUAGGAUUUUUGAUUUUAUCUUUUUAUUUGGUUGUUUCUCAUAUGUAUGUGAAUUCCAAAUACUUUGGGUUAAGCAUUGUUACUCUACCAUGUCAUCAACUCGUUCAGGUUUAAAAAAAAAAAAAAAAAAAAAAAAAAAGAGAGAGGGUGAAACUAUAUGAAAAUCUUUUACUGCUUUGUUUUUUAGGCAGUAAGUGAGAUCAAUUUGGAAUCUUAUAUGCUUCGCCAUUUAGUCUUUCGUUCCAUUAAGAUUGCUUCUAAUCCUUAUCUUUUUUAUUUCUUUCUUUUCCAUGGAACACUUGGGAGCAUUUGGAGUUAUGGCAACUCCGGAUUUUGCCCAGAUUAGAGGAGUAAACCGUAGCUGCGGUUUUGUUCGAGCUAGCAGUCCCAUCUCAUUCGUGUCUCGAGUCCAUAUCCCUUCUCCUUUCUUCAAAAUUAUUGUGUCUUUAUAUUAUCAUACGCACAUGUUUGUUUACAACUCUUGACUAACGUUUUUGUGGUUUGUAUUUAUAAGCUUGUGUUUGUAGCC